Molecule: transfer RNA, 64 nt
Filed under: Amphioctopus marginatus
Lineage: Eukaryota; Metazoa; Mollusca; Cephalopoda; Octopoda; Octopodidae
Description: tRNA-Ser
Source: RNAcentral
AAGUUAUAUUGGAUAUAUAUGAUUUUGAAAAUCGUUAAAAAGUGUUCGAUUCACUUGUAACUUU